GUGCUGCAGCGUUCGGUUCAUUUUGCUUCAGUCUCUUCAGGUGGGCGGUUCCGGAGAGAGGCCAGCUGCAGGCUAUUCCAAAUCAACCGGGCCAGUGUAUAUAAGGAGCUGAGCGAUCACUUCACUUCGCCGGAUGAUGACUCACUUUGGGAACUUCCACCAUUGAUCAACACAGCAAUAACCAGGAUUUCACCUCCGAGCCUGAUCUCACCCUCCAACUGGACCGACCCGCUCUCCCACCGCUCACCCCCCUCGGAUAUUGGAUUAUCACCUACGCAGCUCACCCCAGUCCUGACUACCCUCCCCAAGUUCUUUGAUCUCAGUCCAACAACCCAACCCCGGAGCUGUACUCGGCAUCACCGCCACGUCUGGCGGUGCACCUUUAGUUUCCCUUUCUACUUACCCUCGUCUCCUAGUGUGAUUCUGCAUGUCUUGGGUCAGGAAACUCCCCACGAACAUGUCAGCAGAAGCGCUAAAAGCCUUUCUUAUAAAAAUAAAAGAUGUUUGCGCCAUCGCCAGACGCCUUUUGUGAUUACAGCUAAAAAAAACUACAGCGUCGUGCGGUACAGUCGGAAUUUCUGUCUUUUUUCUGAUUGGUUAUUUUUGAGCUGCCUAGUCCCGCCCCUCAAGUGCCUCUCUGCCUGUGAGUUACCAGACUCUCUCUGUGCAGAAUUAAACAGAGGACGAGUCUGGAAGGCCAUGACAUCAUGACCCAGAACGUGACAUCAGGAAUUUUCCCUUCAGUUUCAUAAUUGUACUUCUUUUUGUGCUCAAUAAUGUUCUUUUCAGCCACGUUAACCCUUUACCAGUUCUUGUUGUUUACUUUCCUUCUUGCUGCCAUGAUGAAUGUAAUCGCUACGGUGACCCUAACAUCUCUCCACUGAGGGACAAUAAAGGGCUUUCUAUUCUGUUCCGUUAAUGCAUGCACUAAACUAAGGGGCUUGUACCAAUCAUUUAGUAUAAAAACCAUUACAGUUCAGAACAGCAGUUCAGUCAUGGAAAGUCCAACUUCCUCUGAAUUGUUUGACAUCUGAACGAUGUCUCUACUGUGAGGUCUACCUGAGCUUCAGAGCUCCAGCGGGGCAUCCUCACCUGGUUUGCCUAAAUCCCACUGAUGUCUGUAAGGGGCAAUUCUUGUAGACAGGAUUAAAUGCAUCUGAAAGCCAGAGCGUACAUUCCUGAGAAUCCAUAUUUGAUGUAUUUAUUGCUGUUAGAUUUGUACAGAGUUACGUAAUAAACCAGCUGAAUUGAAGACCAGUGGGCGGUGUCCACCACCGCCAUCUUGGCCGCAUCACUUGUCUCGUCACUAAGAGAAGAUACCCCAAAAAAAUGGAACUGCGAGCGGGGCUGUGAGGGUGGGGGCAGAUCAGGGGCGUCUCCAGCCUUUAAGGACCACCGGGGCUUAACCCAGACCACAAGAAACAACAACUUUAGUAAAAAACAAGAGUGCUGUGUAGAAACAUCAUUUAAGCACUGUAGUCAAGUCAAGCUUUAUUUAUAUAGCACAUUGAAAUGGCAACAGCGUUACCCAAAGUGCUGCACAACAGUAAUAAUAAAAAUUAAUAAAAGGAAAUUCAAUAGAUGACAAAGCAUCAUUAAAUAUUAAAACCCACAAGGAACUAAACACAGAAUAUGUAACGCCUGUUGAAGAUAAGGUAUCACAUAUAAAAAUUUAAAGACAAGAAAACCCUGGGUCACUAGAUUAUAAAAUAUCUAAAAUACCACAGAAUACAGAUGUGUUUUCAACGUGCUUCAGGAGUGGCCCAGUGAAUCAGCUGUCUUUACAUCCAGGGGCAGGCUGUUCCACGGCGAGGAGCCACCCUUGGUUUUGAGCCGACAUCUGCGUGUGGCGAACAGCUUUAGAUCAGCUGAUCUAAGCGCUCUGGACAGGACAUAUGGUUGAAUGAGGUCACAGGUAUGAUGGAGCCUGCCCGUGCAGACAUUUAAAAACCAGCAUCAAAAUUUUAAAUUCAGUCCUGAACUUGACAGGAAGCCAGUGGAGGUCAGCCAGUACCGGGGUGACAUGGUCAUUCUGUCUUGAUCAGAGGUGGAAAGUAACGAAUUACAUUUACUCACGUUACUGUAAUUGAGUAGCUUUUUUGUAUAUUUAUACUUUUUAAGUCGAUUUUAAAAGCUGUACUUUUACUUUUACACGAGUAAGUUUUUAAAAAAGAAUUGUAAUUCGCUACAUUUUAAAUAAUAUCCGUUACCGAGUAAAAACAAAUUGGCUUAAUAAAUUAAAAAUAUUGCGUGUAGCAGCGUCGGAAUAGAAAGAGGCACCUGCAUGAGCGCCGCGUCUAAACCGUGGGAGGUGUGGGUGUACACUUCUGCUCCAAAACAUCAGUUCAGUCCCUGUGAUCCACUCGCUGUUCACCUCCUCUCUCCCUCCUCUCCUGUGGGUUGGAACCCGCACCUUUGCGCACCGGUGUGACGUCAUCACAAUUCCACUCGGUUCGGUAACCGGACUCAGUUCCGUGUUUGAAAUGUGUUUCCCUACUGCUCCGCACGGAAGCGGCAAAAUAACGUUUAGCACUCAUAACAAGUGGAUUAUCAGCGCUCUGCUCAUAAAACAGAAGACCUGCAGUUCUCUUUGAGUUAAAACAUCCUGAUAUUGUUCAGGUGUAAACAUUGUGUUUGAACUCAGAAGAUGCUCUUUGAUGCCAGAUAUGUGAUGAUUUAGCUUGUUUCUUUAUUUUACUCCAGAAUAAGAGACUAAAUUAUUACUAAAGCAGUUCAAUGUAGUUAAAUUAGUCAUUCAAAUUAUUCUAAAAUGCUGCAGUGUGUGUGUGUGUGUGUGUGUGUGUGUGUGUGUGUGUGUGUGUGUGUGUGUGUGUGUGUGUGU
Long non-coding RNA from Nothobranchius furzeri (turquoise killifish), 2842 nucleotides. The record is from Ensembl. NCBI's taxonomy places the organism in Eukaryota, Metazoa, Chordata, Actinopteri, Cyprinodontiformes, Nothobranchiidae.